AUGGCGUCUCUCUUUGAUGCCAACUCCACCACGAACGGCGGCGGCACCGCCGUGGCUGCAGGAUCGCAUCUGGGAGAUUUCUUUGAUCAACUAGAUCUCAACGAGGAAGAGUUUGCUGAUGUUGAGAUUGAUGAGGACGACCCUGAGAUCCAGGAAAGGAUUCGGUGGCUUGCCCUUGCUAGGGUUCAUACAACCAAAAACUUCAGCCCUUCUGCCUUCUACAAGGAUAUGAGGGUCGCGUGGAAUCCAGCGCAAAGUGUUAGAUUUCGACCUGUUGGCCCUAAUCAUUUUGUCCUCCAAGCAUCUUGCUUGGGGGAUUGGGAACGCAUCAUGAUUCAGGGCCCAUGGUUGUUUCGUAAUAUGGCGGUGCUCUUGUGCCUGUAUGAUGGUUUUCGCAAAGCAGAAGAGGUAGAAUUCCACCACCUACCAAUUUGGCUGCAAAUCCACAAGCUACCAGACCCGUACUGCAAGAAGAAUAUUGUGGAGAAGCUUCUAAAGAACUCCGGUGACAUAAUGGAGAUGCGCUUGAACGGGAACACUCGAGGUGAUUAUGUAAGAGUGAGGGUCAAGCAUGAUAUCCGUCAGGCUCUGACAAAAUAUGUUAGUAUUGUUUGUGCCAAGGAACGUCAGGUAUACUUGGUUCGUUAUGAAAAACUUGCCAGGUUUUGUAAACUAUGUGGCCUCAUUGGUCACGAUCACAAGGAAUGUGGACCUGAGGUUCAUGAUGAGAAGGAGCUCAAGUUCGGCGAUUGGAUUUAUGCUGAUGCCCCAAACAAGCCACGUCCAGAUCAUCGAGCUACUAGGGCGUUAGGCUCUGAACCCAAUAAAGUGGCGACUCCUAAGGUGGACAGAAACACGUCUGUGCUGGAUCCUAUUGACCCCGAAGUCAUGGACACUGCUUCUAGCCCAGUUAAAGCACCUGGGGAGAGAAUGGAGGUGAACAGAAUCCCGAAGAAGGGGUUGAACAUGGAUGCAGUUGUGGCUACUUCCCGGAUGUCCCUGGCACGUUGA
This 1011-nucleotide ribosomal RNA is filed under the name Triticum aestivum (bread wheat). RNAcentral's name for it is "partial small subunit ribosomal RNA". Lineage: Eukaryota; Viridiplantae; Streptophyta; Magnoliopsida; Poales; Poaceae. The record is from RNAcentral.